CAGCUGCGUGAAUUAAUGUGAAUUGCAGGACACAUUGAACAUCGAUAUCUUGAACGCAUAUUGCGGCCUCGGGCAUUCCCGAGGCCACGCCUGUCUCAGGGUCGGUUGAAAGUCAAUCGCGAUCCAGCUCGGCGUAGCCUGCGUCGCUCUGAUAUCGCGCAAUGAGCGUCUAAGCCGCUGACGUCGACGGUCCGCCGCCGUUACGCUUCGUCGCUUUAAGGUCCGACUUGUUGCUUGCUCGUCGUCGACUGUAGCCUUGUUGACGCCUGGACGACAACUCUACUCUAUGCCUGGAGCAGUAUCGUCGUCUUCGGCAACGCACGGGCUACGGUCGACUUAAGCAACGCCGCUGCUUCGGCAGCAUCGACUAUUCGACCUGAGAUCAGACGAGAUUACCCGC
Molecule: unclassified non-coding RNA, 400 nt
Filed under: uncultured fungus
Lineage: Eukaryota; Fungi
Description: sequence contains ITS1
Rfam family: 5.8S ribosomal RNA (bases 1-104)
Source: RNAcentral